UAUACAAUUGUGAUGACGAAUUCCUUCCUUUGUUCGAGAACAAUCUUAUUGAAAUAUAAAUCUGUGAUUUUACUAUGUCCACAACUUCAAUGAACCAAAGCAAAAGUUAUACACCGACCUGUAUUUAAAUCAAAUUGCUUCUCUUCUUCUUCUUCUUUUUCUUCUUCUUCUGGUAUACAAUAGUCUAUCGACAUUUGGUGAUAACAUACUGUUGGCAUACGUGGACUAGUCUAUUUACAAAACUUUUACCCCAAUUUAUUCAAAAUAUAUGUUUUUUUCUUAUGUUCAAUGUAUACAUGUAUAUAUUUUAAAUUGCGCUAUAGUUCCGUAACUUUCUACCCAGUCGUAUAAACGAAUCGUCGACAAGUGCGUACAUUUUAUUAAAUCAAUAUUUCUGGUAUGUUCCAAUCUGUCCUUCACUAUUGACAAUGAGUAUAUAUAUUACAUUUUCCCAAAUUCACCCUUGGAAAAAAUAUUCAAAUAGAUUUUAAUUUCAUCAAAUC
Molecule: long non-coding RNA, 503 nt
Filed under: Mytilus galloprovincialis (Mediterranean mussel)
Lineage: Eukaryota; Metazoa; Mollusca; Bivalvia; Mytilida; Mytilidae
Source: RNAcentral